AUAAAGAGUGUAGGGCCCAGAAAGGAAGGGAGAGACGGGCGUGGAGACCCCAGUUCCCAAGGAGAACGGAAGAGUGGAAGGAUGGAGAUCUCAGACUCAGGAGAGAAGGCCUCCAGGUCCCAACUUUGGGAAGAGGCAGGGGAGGGGAUAAAAAUCACCAGAUGCCAGGGGUAGCACAGGAUAUUAUUUCCCUUCGCCGGCAGCACUUGAGAGCGGAACAGCCAAGCCCCAUGGUGGCAUAAGCAGUCCUCAAGGGCCCCCUUUGCCUCCUCACAUUCUGGAAAGGUCUCUUGAUUCUAGCUCAGCCUUUGUUCACGAAUCUCAUGGCCAUUCUCCCUACCCAUAGCUUGGACCCUAACCACUGUCUUCAGGAACAAUGGAUGUACAGCCUCUACAGUUGAUGGCCCCUGAUCCCUUUAGGGAUAAAGGUGUCGAGGCUCCUCUGUUUCUCUCCCCAGAACCAGCAACACAUGCUGUUUACACUGGGCUCUUCCUGCCCAGAACAAAGUGCCAGCUAAGAUAAAUCACUGUCAGCACCCGGGUCUCAGGAUGGAGUUUGAAUACAGGGCCUCACACAUGCCAGGUAAGUGCUCUGCCAUUUAACAGUAUCCCCAGCCCUGCCUGCCUGCCUGCCUGCCUGCCUGCCUCCCUGCCUCCCUGCCUCCUUCCUUUUUUGAAAUACUUAAAAAUAUUUUCUUUUCUGUUCUUCGUACCAAACUCAAGGCCUUGCCCAUGCCAAACAAGAACUCUAUGGCUAAGCCACACCCCCAGCCUUCUUUUAAGAGUAAUUUUGAAAAAUAUAAAACCAAAUAAACAAACCAACCAGAAAAUAA
This is a non-coding RNA of Cricetulus griseus (Chinese hamster), 833 nucleotides long. The record is from RefSeq and is a predicted model, not a curated record. Lineage: Eukaryota; Metazoa; Chordata; Mammalia; Rodentia; Cricetidae.